ACUGGCACAAUGAUGACUUAAAUUACUUUUUGCCGUUUACCCAGCUGAGUGUUUCUUUGAAGAAAUAAUUUUAAGACUGAGAUGCCAGU
Molecule: small nucleolar RNA, 89 nt
Organism: Ailuropoda melanoleuca (giant panda)
Lineage: Eukaryota; Metazoa; Chordata; Mammalia; Carnivora; Ursidae
Product: small nucleolar RNA, C/D box 87
Source: Ensembl